Molecule: ribosomal RNA, 255 nt
Filed under: uncultured bacterium
Lineage: Bacteria
Description: partial 16S ribosomal RNA
Rfam family: Bacterial small subunit ribosomal RNA
Source: RNAcentral
GCAAGUCGAACGAGAACGGCUUAUAGCUUGCUAUAAGUGUCAGCUAAGUGGCGCACGGGUGAGUAAUAUAUAGUUAAUCUGCCCUAGAGAGAGGGAUAACGUUUGGAAACGAACGCUAAUACCUCAUAUGCCUUUAAGUCAUAAGACUGCAAGGGAAAUAUUUAUAGCUCUAGGAUGAGACUGUACGGUAUCAGUUAGUUGGUGAGGUAAUGGCUCACCAAGACAAUGACGCCUAACUGGUUUGAGAGGAUGAUC